GUGUGUGUGCUGUGCUGUGCUGUGCCUGGUACCCCGUGGGUUUUGCGCACGGGAGAGAAGGAAAUGGCUGUGCUUUUAUCUGCUCGUUUGAAGUGCCAUAGCAUCCCAGCCUACCCCGCUGAGACAACAUCACAGACCCACAGAGACAGACAGACACAGGCCUCUUUUCUUUGGCCGAACCCACGACAGCACAAACAUCUCUCUCUAGUUGGAGGAUAUUAGACUUUGUGGCAUAUUAAUAAGAGCAGACUUAUCCUCAGCAGACUACUUUAGGUUCGGGCAUGGCAGUACAUGUGACUGUAAUUAUGUGUAAACAAAGAGAGAUCUUUGCCAAUUUCAUAGUUGAUUAGAUUUUACUAUGUGGUAAAACCAGUGCCCCUUGUAUCUGAUCUGGGAUCAGUGUUUGGACAUUAUCUGUAAAUCUUUAUACUGUAGGCUAUAGAAGCCGCGUUGCUAAUUCAAAGUAUUAUAGUGUGUGCAGUAUCAGUAAACUGGCCAUUAGCCGCUCUGGGCUGCUUGUGGUUCUGUGUCGUUUUUAUCUGAUGAACUGCUGUGGCCGGGUGGUUUGGACGGGAGUGAUUGGUCGGAUGACUGAUGGAGCCAGCCAGUGCCAAGACUUCUGGGGUCAUUUGGCUGAGAGGCGAGAGCGAAGGAGAAGGAAGGAGUGAAGGAGCAGGCUGGGGAGGUGGAGGGGAGGUGCAGAGGGGGUGGUAAGUCCAGGCGUUCCACCCAAGGAUGAAGCUCCAGUGCCAGGCAGUGAGAGAUUGAGCCUCCCCCUCCCAGGUCCUGCCAUGGGCGGCUGCCCUGCUAACCCCCACCUGCCCUCCCCCACAUCCAUUAACACCAGGGCUGUGAAGUCUCUCCAGCACUGCACAUCCAGAUGGUGAUGGAUCGACCCGACCCAACCACAGGAAGGGCAUACUAGGCCGGGGCUCUUUGAAGGCUGGCCAAGCGCUGGAUGCCAGAGGUGCUGAUUCUUUCCAGUUGCCAUGCCAGUGCUGGCUUCUCCACCUCAGAGUGGCGAGAGAACAGGACAGAACCGGGACGGAACAUGCUGUUCUCCAUCCACUGCAUUAUGACACUAAGAACCCUAUCCCACAGGUCCAGAACUACU
Alosa alosa (allis shad) is the source of this 1114-nucleotide long non-coding RNA. RefSeq lists it as uncharacterized. Lineage: Eukaryota; Metazoa; Chordata; Actinopteri; Clupeiformes; Clupeidae. The record is from RefSeq and is a predicted model, not a curated record. The transcript is spliced from 3 exons.